This 1277-nucleotide ribosomal RNA is filed under the name Salmonella enterica subsp. enterica serovar Orion. Its description in RNAcentral is "partial 23S ribosomal RNA". It matches the Rfam family "Bacterial large subunit ribosomal RNA", at positions 59 to 1271 of the family's 2925-position model. Lineage: Bacteria; Pseudomonadati; Pseudomonadota; Gammaproteobacteria; Enterobacterales; Enterobacteriaceae. The record is from RNAcentral.
UGCUAAUCUGCGAUAAGCGCCGGUAAGGUGAUAUGAACCGUUAUAACCGGCGAUACCCGAAUGGGGAAACCCAGUGUGACUCGUCACACUAUCAUUAACUGAAUCCAUAGGUUAAUGAGGCGAACCGGGGGAACUGAAACAUCUAAGUACCCCGAGGAAAAGAAAUCAACCGAGAUUCCCCCAGUAGCGGCGAGCGAACGGGGAGGAGCCCAGAGCCUGAAUCAGCAUGUGUGUUAGUGGAAGCGUCUGGAAAGGCGCGCGAUACAGGGUGACAGCCCCGUACACAAAAGCGCAUGUGCUGUGAGCUCGAUGAGUAGGGCGGGACACGUGGUAUCCUGUCUGAAUAUGGGGGGACCAUCCUCCAAGGCUAAAUACUCCUGACUGACCGAUAGUGAACCAGUACCGUGAGGGAAAGGCGAAAAGAACCCCGGCGAGGGGAGUGAAACAGAACCUGAAACCGUGUACGUACAAGCAGUGGGAGCCCCACCACUAAGCCAGUGGUGAGUUCCAUGAUGCAUCCUUUGCUGAAGGUGCGGUUGGCGGAGCGUUUUUUGCGACGCCCAACACACAAAACAAGCAGAGGGGGCUUAGUGGUGGGGUGACUGCGUACCUUUUGUAUAAUGGGUCAGCGACUUAUAUUCUGUAGCAAGGUUAACCGCAUAGGGGAGCCGGAGGGAAACCGAGUCUUAACCGGGCGUUAAGUUGCAGGGUAUAGACCCGAAACCCGGUGAUCUAGCCAUGGGCAGGUUGAAGGUUGGGUAACACUAACUGGAGGACCGAACCGACUAAUGUUGAAAAAUUAGCGGAUGACCUGUGGCUGGGGGUGAAAGGCCAAUCAAACCGGGAGAUAGCUGGUUCUCCCCGAAAGCUAUUUAGGUAGCGCCUCGUGAAUUCAUCUCCGGGGGUAGAGCACUGUUUCGGCUAGGGGGCCAUCCCGGCUUACCAACCCGAUGCAAACUGCGAAUACCGGAGAAUGUUAUCACGGGAGACACACGGCGGGUGCUAACGUCCGUCGUGAAGAGGGAAACAACCCAGACCGCCAGCUAAGGUCCCAAAGUCAUGGUUAAGUGGGAAACGAUGUGGGAAGGCCCAGACAGCCAGGAUGUUGGCUUAGAAGCAGCCAUCAUUUAAAGAAAGCGUAAUAGCUCACUGGUCGAGUCGGCCUGCGCGGAAGAUGUAACGGGGCUAAACCAUGCACCGAAGCUGCGGCAGCGACACUCAGGUGUUGUUGGGUAGGGGAGCGUUCUGUAAGCCUGCGAAGGUGGCCUGUGAGGGUU